RNAcentral lists this long non-coding RNA (465 nucleotides) under Heterocephalus glaber (naked mole-rat). RNAcentral describes it as "lncRNA (ENSHGLG00000046579.1)". Lineage: Eukaryota; Metazoa; Chordata; Mammalia; Rodentia; Bathyergidae. The record is from RNAcentral.
AAUGAAUAGGCCAUCAGUGAAAUAUUUUGUUUUGUUUUCUUUGAGGCAGGGUCUUACUAUGCAGUUCAGGCUGGCCUUGAACGCACUAUGGAGCCCUGGCUGGCCUCCACCUCAGGUGAUCCUCCUGCCUCAGCCUCCAGAGUGCUGGUAUCAUAGGUGUGUGCCACCAUGCCCAGCUAAGUCCAAAUGUCAGCAGAGAGAAUAAGAAGUAAACUGAGGAAGCGGUGAUGUUCCUGGUUAUGAAGAGUGAUAGAGAAAUAUCUCCCGGCUUGCAAAUGUGAGCACGGGUUUAUUUGUUUUUACCACGAAGGACUGUAGACUUAAUCAUGUUUUAGUGAACAUCCAAAACAGAAAAAGCAGGAUUCACAUAUAAAGCCCCUUAGUUGUCAUUAACAUUGAACUAUCCCUGGCCGGGUGUGGUGGCUCACUCCUGUAAUCCCAGCACUUGGGAGGCUGAGACAGGAG